CGACUGACAUCCUUCCUCCCAUCCGAUGUCUCAUCCUCCCAUCCGACGUCCUUCCUCCCAUCCGGCAUCCAACAUUUGACCAUCGUCCAUCAGAAUCGACGACGAUCUAACAUCCACCAUCCCCCCUUCUCGCUUGUCUCGGUGUCGCUUCUCGGUUUCAUUGCUCCCAUUCGGCAUCCGGCCAUCACCCAUCGACAUCGAAGAUGCAUCGCCCAACAACCCAAGUGAGUCACUUCUCAGUUCUUGCCUUCUCACCUGUCGGAUCGAUUUAGAUAAUCUUCUCUCCCAUCCGGCAUCAUAUUUAACAUUACUUGAGAGUAUAUAAUAGUUUUCAUUUUCAAUGAAUUUGUUUAGUAUCAUUGUUGUUUCUUUUUUUCUUUUGCUAGAAAAUUAAUCUUUUUUUCAUUGUGUGGGGAGUUGGGGUGAUUCGAGUGGAUCUAGAUUUGUACUUCAAAUACUGUACGUUCUCUUACCUCAAUGCCUUCACUCACUUAACACUACUUUUACUAGUCUUUAACUCUUUCAUCAAAUUAAACUCCCACACCUACCUUUUACCCUUUAUCUUCCUUCCGCUGCCAUUGUUUCUCGGUCUCAACUUGAUGACAGUAAUAACUAACCAAAUGAAUGCCUGCAAUACUUGUUAACUGAUAUUUAUAAAAAUAAAUGUUUGGUAGAAUACCCGUUAAUCAUAUUCAUACCUCGAUUACAUAGUAUACUAAAAAUAAUGAACACAAACAACAUGCUUUUAGUUUGUUAAUAAUGUUUAGCAACUGUAUACUUUAAAUUGUCACCAACUUUAAUCCAUGUUCCUGCUAAACUUAAUCAAGGAAAAAGAUUACUUUUAUGUGUGAGAAAAGUCACUGAUGAGAAAAGAUGUAGAUCCUUGGUAUAACCCCAAAUCCCAAAUAGUAAAACUAGAAGAGUAAACAGAGCAUUUUCCUAGAAGAUAAAUGUUUGCAGAAAGCAGGAUUACCCAACUAACUUUAGCUGUUUUUGUUAACACUUAAUAUAGAUAUAAAAAUUGAUUACUAAUUUAAUAAACAAGGUAAGGUAGACAAAUGAUGCAACUGAUUUGGUUUCAUGUGAUAGGUCACAUGACACAUGUUAUCUAAUAUUUGAGGAUUCCAGAAAAGUCCGAGAAAUGUACUACUCAAUUUAGUAUCACAUGAUGAGCUGUUUCCAAGUUCCAACCCAUUAAACAACAAAGAAAAUGAAUAAGAAUUAUAAUAUAUCUAAUCAAGAAACAUAAUUAUUUGCACUAUUUUCCCAAUCUUCUUAUUUAUGAACUAUAAUUGUGGGCCUUUAUAUUAAACUUGUAAUUUCAUUUAUAUUUAUCUUUUUUACAACAAAACUGCAUAUAGGAGAAAAAAAUGAAAUGAAUUCUCUAUUUUAUUGCUUGAAGUUGUUUGUAAAUAUUUUUUUAAUCUGUAAAUUUUAUUGUCACAGAACAAGUUGUAGGAUUUAUACAGUCUUCUCCGAUUUUUGAAGGUGGAGUGGAACCUUG
This 1504-nucleotide long non-coding RNA is filed under the name Theobroma cacao (cacao). RNAcentral's name for it is "long non-coding RNA (TCAC_LNC005650)". The record is from RNAcentral. Lineage: Eukaryota; Viridiplantae; Streptophyta; Magnoliopsida; Malvales; Malvaceae.